UACGUAGGGUGCAAGCGUUGUCCGGAAUUAUUGGGCGUAAAGAGCUCGUAGGCGGUCUGUCGCGUCUGCUGUGAAAACUCGGGGCUUAACCCCGGGCCUGCAGUGGGUACGGGCAGACUAGAGUGCGGUAGGGGAGACUGGAAUUCCUGGUGUAGCGGUGAAAUGCGCAGAUAUCAGGAGGAACACCGGUGGCGAAGGCGGCAUCCUGGACCGGUAUUGACGCUGAGGCGCGAAAGCUAGGGGAGCAAACGGG
Molecule: ribosomal RNA, 253 nt
Filed under: uncultured bacterium
Lineage: Bacteria
Description: partial 16S ribosomal RNA
Rfam family: Bacterial small subunit ribosomal RNA
Source: RNAcentral